UGCCUGUGAUGAUUUGCCAUGCUAAUACUGACGCUGCAGCCGUGAACGUGUAGUUUGUGGGCUGCCUGCGAAUGAGUGCAAGAUGACUUACUGAGGCUG
Hyla sarda is the source of this 99-nucleotide small nucleolar RNA. NCBI's taxonomy places the organism in Eukaryota, Metazoa, Chordata, Amphibia, Anura, Hylidae. The record is from RefSeq and is a predicted model, not a curated record.